This 72-nucleotide transfer RNA is filed under the name Thermodesulfovibrio yellowstonii. RNAcentral describes it as "tRNA-Val". It matches the Rfam family "tRNA". From Rfam's summary of the family: Transfer RNA (tRNA) molecules are approximately 80 nucleotides in length. Their secondary structure includes four short double-helical elements and three loops (D, anti-codon, and T loops). Further hydrogen bonds mediate the characteristic L-shaped molecular structure. tRNAs have two regions of fundamental functional importance: the anti-codon, which is responsible for specific mRNA codon recognition, and the 3' end, to which the tRNAs corresponding amino acid is attached (by aminoacyl-tRNA synthetases). tRNAs cope with the degeneracy of the genetic code in two manners: having more than one tRNA (with a specific anti-codon) for a particular amino acid; and 'wobble' base-pairing, i.e. permitting non-standard base-pairing at the 3rd anti-codon position. RNAcentral also lists the same sequence under 7 other names. Lineage: Bacteria; Pseudomonadati; Nitrospirota; Thermodesulfovibrionia; Thermodesulfovibrionales; Thermodesulfovibrionaceae. The record is from RNAcentral.
GGGCGAUUAGCUCAGGGGGAGAGCGCUUCCUUCACACGGAAGAGGUCGUGGGUUCAAAUCCCUCAUCGCCCA